GAUGAACGCUGGCGGCGUGCCUAAUACAUGCAAGUCGAGCGAACAGACGAGGAGCUUGCUCCUCUGACGUUAGCGGCGGACGGGUGAGUAACACGUGGAUAACCUACCUAUAAGACUGGGAUAACUUCGGGAAACCGGAGCUAAUACCGGAUAAUAUAUUGAACCGCAUGGUUCAAUAGUGAAAGACGGUUUUGCUGUCACUUAUAGAUGGAUCCGCGCCGCAUUAGCUAGUUGGUAAGGUAACGGCUUACCAAGGCAACGAUGCGUAGCCGACCUGAGAGCUUGAUCGGCAACACUCAAACGAGGACACCAUGAAGAAUCCAACGGGCUGCAGCGGUAGGGAAUGUGCCGCGAGGGACAAAGGACUGAAGGAGCGACGACGCAUUAGGUAAGGCGUUUUACGUAACAAAAAAAUCUUAUAUUAGAGAAAACAAAAUGUGUAGAAAUCUCCGCACGUAUUGAAGGAACAUAAGAAGAAAGCCACGUCUAAAGACGGGCAAGCCCAGGAGGUAAUACAGCGGAGGUCUGAAC
This 531-nucleotide ribosomal RNA is filed under the name uncultured bacterium. Its description in RNAcentral is "partial 16S ribosomal RNA". It matches the Rfam family "Bacterial small subunit ribosomal RNA", at positions 28 to 539 of the family's 1533-position model. The record is from RNAcentral.